RNAcentral lists this ribosomal RNA (1355 nucleotides) under uncultured bacterium. RNAcentral describes it as "bacterial SSU rRNA". It matches the Rfam family "Bacterial small subunit ribosomal RNA", at positions 28 to 1381 of the family's 1533-position model. The record is from RNAcentral.
AUUGAACGCUGGCGGCAGGCUUAACACAUGCAAGUCGAACGAUGAUUAUCUAGCUUGCUAGAUAUGAUUAGUGGCGGACGGGUGAGUAACAUUUAGGAAUCUGCCUAGUAGUGGGGGAUAGCUCGGGGAAACUCGAAUUAAUACCGCAUACGACCUACGGGUGAAAGGGGGCGCAAGCUCUUGCUAUUAGAUGAGCCUAAAUCAGAUUAGCUAGUUGGUGGGGUAAAGGCCCACCAAGGCGACGAUCUGUAACUGGUCUGAGAGGAUGAUCAGUCACACCGGAACUGAGACACGGUCCGGACUCCUACGGGAGGCAGCAGUGGGGAAUAUUGGACAAUGGGGGCAACCCUGAUCCAGCCAUGCCGCGUGUGUGAAGAAGGCCUUUUGGUUGUAAAGCACUUUAAGCAGGGAGGAGAGGCUAAUGGUUAAUACCCAUUAGAUUAGACGUUACCUGCAGAAUAAGCACCGGCUAACUCUGUGCCAGCAGCCGCGGUAAUACAGAGGGUGCGAGCGUUAAUCGGAAUUACUGGGCGUAAAGCGAGUGUAGGUGGCUCGUUAAGUCACAUGUGAAAUCCCCGGGCUUAACCUGGGAACUGCAUGUGAUACUGGUGGUGCUAGAAUAUGUGAGAGGGAAGUAGAAUUCCAGGUGUAGCGGUGAAAUGCGUAGAGAUCUGGAGGAAUACCAAUGGCGAAGGCAGCUUCCUGGCAUAAUAUUGACACUGAGAUUCGAAAGCGUGGGUAGCAAACAGGAUUAGAUACCCUGGUAGUCCACGCCGUAAACGAUGUCUACUAGCCGUUGGGGUCCUUGAGACUUUAGUGGCGCAGUUAACGCGAUAAGUAGACCGCCUGGGGAGUACGGCCGCAAGGUUAAAACUCAAAUGAAUUGACGGGGGCCCGCACAAGCGGUGGAGCAUGUGGUUUAAUUCGAUGCAACGCGAAGAACCUUACCUGGUCUUGACAUAGUAAGAACUUUCCAGAGAUGGAUUGGUGCCUUCGGGAACUUACAUACAGGUGCUGCAUGGCUGUCGUCAGCUCGUGUCGUGAGAUGUUGGGUUAAGUCCCGCAACGAGCGCAACCCUUUUCCUUAUUUGCCAGCGGGUUAAGCCGGGAACUUUAAGGAUACUGCCAGUGACAAACUGGAGGAAGGCGGGGACGACGUCAAGUCAUCAUGGCCCUUACGACCAGGGCUACACACGUGAUACAAUGGUCGGUACAAAGGGUUGCUACCACGCGAGUGGAUGCUAAUCUCAAAAAGCCGAUCGUAGUCCGGAUUGGAGUCUGCAACUCGACUCCAUGAAGUCGGAAUCGCUAGUAAUCGCGGAUCAGAAUGCCGCGGUGAAUACGUUCCCGGGCCU